CCUACGGGUGGCAGCAGUGAGGAAUAUUGGUCAAUGGACGAGAGUCUGAACCAGCCAAGUAGCGUGAAGGAUGACUGCCCUAUGGGUUGUAAACUUCUUUUAUAUGGGAAUAAAAUGUUCCACGUGUGGGAUUUUGUAUGUACCAUAUGAAUAAGGAUCGGCUAACUCCGUGCCAGCAGCCGCGGUAAUACGGAGGAUCCGAGCGUUAUCCGGAUUUAUUGGGUUUAAAGGGAGCGUAGGUGGAUUGUUAAGUCAGUUGUGAAAGUUUGCGGCUCAACCGUAAAAUUGCAGUUGAAACUGGCAGUCUGGAGUACAGUAGAGGUGAGCGGAAUUCGUGGUGUAGCGGUGAAAUGCUUAGAGAUCACGAAGAACGCCGAUUGCGAAGGCAGCUCACUGGACUGCAACUGACACUGAGGCUCGAAAGUGUGGGUAUCAAACAGGAUUAGAUACCCCUGUAGUC
Molecule: ribosomal RNA, 460 nt
Filed under: uncultured bacterium
Lineage: Bacteria
Description: partial 16S ribosomal RNA
Rfam family: Bacterial small subunit ribosomal RNA
Source: RNAcentral